RNAcentral lists this long non-coding RNA (4171 nucleotides) under Homo sapiens (human). Its description in RNAcentral is "HSALNT0258617". The record is from RNAcentral. Lineage: Eukaryota; Metazoa; Chordata; Mammalia; Primates; Hominidae.
AUUCAUGGGUGCAGUUUCUCCCAUACUGUUCUCCUGGUAGUGAAUAAGUCUCACGAGAUCUGAUGGUUUUAUAAGGGGAAACCCUUUUCGCUUGGUCCUCAUUCUCUCUUGUCUGCUGCCAUGUAAGACAUGCCUUUUGCUUUCUGCCAUGAUUAUGAGGCCUCUCCAGCCACGUGGAACCGUGAGUACAUUAAACCUCUUUUUCUUCAUGAUUUACCCAGUCUCAGGUAUGUCUUUAUCAGCCGUGUGAGAACAGACUAAUACAACAGUAUAAAGCCAAUGUGGUAAAUGUCUCAAGAAAGAGCCAUUGAAAAUCUACAGGAUCCAGAAGAAGGAGAAGUUGCUCUGGCAGGGAGUUGGCAAUAAGGGUGACCAGGGGACAGCUUCAUGGAAGACUGGACAGUGGAAGUCGGCCAGGAAGGCUUCUGCAGGCAGAGCUGGUAGAGCAAGUGUGUGAAGGCUACAGAGAAACACAGAGAGAGGCAGGAAGACCAUUCAUUGCAAAGAACUGCUGAUUUGCUCACUGGCAUUAGAGUGUGCUGCUGUGACUGGUCUUGGCUGAGAAGAGCAGUGAAUUUUGUGAAGUGACAACCUACGGUUUAACUGGUCUCCAAUGCUAAAAGAAAAUACCUUCCAAGCUCCACUGGAAGCUGCUGGAAUGUGAAGGACGCAGAGGUCAUUCCCAGUUCUCAGUGAGGUCAAGCCCACCAGCCUGCAAGGGAGCAGCUGUGGCCAUGUCCUCUGGAGCAAUUGACCGGAGGUGAACAUGAGCGGUGGUUUCCCCACUGUUGUGGGCUGUGGUGAGCUCUUAGCACAUCCCUGUGCUGUGGGUGACUGCAGGCCACGCCUGCGAAACUUGGCUGAUGCAGGGAGAGAGCUUGUAUUAGUCCGUUUUCACACUGCUAUAAAGAUACUACCAAUGGCCAGGUGCGGUGGCUCACGUCUGUAAUCCCAGCACUUUGGGAGGCCAAGGCAGGCAGAUCACUUGAGGUCAGGAGUUCAAGAACAGCCUGGCCAACAUGGUGAAUCCCUGCCUCUACUAAAAAUACAAAAAUUAGCCAGGUGUGGUGGCUAAUGCUUGCAAUCCCAGCUACUCAGGAGGCUGAGGCACGAGAAUCUCUUGAACCUGGGAAUCGGAGGUUGUAGUGAGAAGAGAUUGCACUGCUGCACUCCAGCCUGGGUGACAGAGUGAGCCUCCAUCUCAAAAAAAAAAAAAAAGAAAAAAAAAGAUACUACCCGAGACCAGGUAAUUUGUGAAAGAAAAAAGUUUAAUUGAUUCACAGUUCUGCAUGGCUGGGGAGGCCUCAGGAAACUUACAAUCAUGGUGGAAGGUGAAGGGGAAGCAAGGACCUUCUUCACAUGGUGGCAGGAGAGAGAGAGUGCAGGGGAAGCUGCCACUUAGAAACUAUCAGCUCUCUCAUGAGAACUCACUCACUAUUACAAGAACAGCAUGGGGGAAAUCGUCCCCAUGAUCCAGUCACCUCCCACCGGAUCCCUCCCUCGACAUGUGGGGAUUACGAUUCGAGAUGAGAUUUGGGUGGGGACACAGCCAAACCAUAUCAGAGGUCACCUGGCAGCUGCCCCCAGGACACCUCCCAAGCUGCUGGGCCCACUCAGAAAGCCUAGCUAAUGAUCAUGGAAGGUGUCGUGGUUAAUACUGAGUGUCAACUUGAUUGGAUUGAAGGAUGCAAACUAUUGAUCCUGGGUGUGUCUGUGAGGAUGUUGCCAAAGGAGAUUAAUGUUUGAGUCAGUGGGCUGGGAAAGGCAGACCCACCCUCAAUCUGGGAGGGCACCAUCUAAUAAGCUACCAGCACAGCUAGUAUAAAAGCUGGCAGAAGAACGUGAAAAGAGUAGACUGGACUAGCCUCCUGGGCUACAUCUUUCUCCCAUGCUGGAUGCUUCCUGCCCUUGAACAUCAGACUUCAAGUUCUUGAGUUUGGGGACUUGGAAUGGCUUCCUUGCUCCUCAGCUUGCAGACGGCCUAUUGUGAGACCUUGUGAUCAUGUGAGUUAAUACUACCUAAUAAGCUCCUAUAUAUAUAUAUGUAUAUAUGUAUAUGUGUGUGUGUGUAUAUAUAUACAUAUAUAUAUAAUAGUAUACAUAUAUAUACUAUUAGUCCUGUCCCGCUAGAGAACCCUGACUAAUACAGAAGGAGAGCCUCCGGUUGGCAGAUGAGCAAAGACAAUUAAAAUCAGGGCAAAUGGCCAGUGCACCAGGCCUGUCUCCAGUGGGACCUGUGAGCCAGGCUGGUGACUCAGGAACCAUGGGUACCACCCCUCUUUGGAGAGUAGAAGUUUCUACCCUUUCCUGGCUUUUGAGGGCUCCUUGUAGGGUGUGCUGUGGGACUGACUGAAUGGCACCAAGUAAAUCACAAAGAGGUUUGACAUCAGACAUCUCUGGUUUUGGCAGAAGUAGGAAUAAUUCUAGAAGGUACUGCAUGUUGGACAAAAAUACAUACAGAAGAUCAUGAAUUUCCAACUGAGACACUGAUUCUUAUAUCAAGCCAAAAUACCUGUGUUUUCAGAAAGACAAAUACUUCAUAAUUCCACUUGCAUGAGGUAUCUAAAAUUGUCAGAUUCAUAGAAUCAAAAUGUGCAGGGGUGUUUUCCAGGCCUGAGGGGAGGGAGAAACAGGCAGUCACUAAUCAACAGGCACAGAGUUGUUUGUUUGAGACAGAGUCUCACUCUGUCUCCCAGGCUGGAGUGCAGUGGCGCAAUCAUAGCUCCCUGCAGCCUCCAACUCCUGGGCUCAAGAGAUCCUCCUGCCUCAGCCUCCCAAGUAACUGGGACUACAUGUGCAUGCAAUCACACCCAGCUAAUUAUUUUAUUUAAUUUUUUUGUAGAGACGUGGUCUUGCUAUCUUACCGAGGCUGGUCUCGAACUCCUGGCCUCAGGCGAUCCUCCUGCCUCAGCCUCCCAAAAUGCUGGGAUUACAGGCAUGAGCAGCGCAAAGUUUUAGUUAAGCAAGAUGAAUAAGCUCUAGAGCUCUGUAGUAAAAAAUCCUGUAUUGUCCACUUAAAAAAUGUGUUAAGAGGGUAGAUCUCAUGUUGAGUGUUCUUACCACAAUAAAAUAACAUUAAAAAUGCAUCUGUUUUAAAGGAUAGUUUCCCUGGAAAGGUGGUUCAAAGAGCGUAGGCAAAUCUCAUCUUACCAAGGAGCUGGUUACGCAUGAGAGCAAAUAAGAACUGCACAUGAAACAUGAGAAUUAAAAUUAGGUGGGUCUUUUUUUUCCCCAACCAUCUUACUUUUUAUAGUUAUUUCGGAGAAAUCUGCAUUUUUCACUUGGAAUGUGCCGUGCCUUUGUCGGCCAGCGAUGUAUACCAGUCUGCCUGGCUGUUUCCGCUGGCUUGUCAGGCUCACUAAUUAGAGAGCUGCAGCGUGAUUCACCUUGUUAAUUAGAGGGACUUGCACACGGAGCCCUUCGGGCAGUGUAUGAGAAAGCCUCGCACCAGUGCCCCGAGAACGAUGCAGUCUGUGAAGUCAUUCUUCUCAUCUACCUUCUAUUUUUCAUUUGAAAUGAAUAAAUCAUCGAGAUUUUCCUUGUGGAGUGAGAAUGCAAGAAUUCACAUCUUUGUAAGAUGUAAAUUACAUGUGAUCAAUAGGAAGCGAUGACGCGCGCAUUGUACUUACAUGAUUUCCUAAUUUACUCCUUGUCAGUGUCUGAAAAAAUGGCCUGAAAUAUUUGUCUCCUUUCCAUGAAUCAGUGCCCUUCAUCUGGUAAAAGAGGGUGUUGAGUGAGAAACACAGCUGUUUUAUUUUAGCUGCUGGAGCCUGGUCCAGUGGUGUGUUGUUUGCUUGCAUGGAGAGAGGGGGAAGCUUCUGGAAGCCAGGCCUCUGGAACAAUCUCCUUCUCCCCAGCUUCCCCCAGGGGCCUGUCUGCUCGAGAAGAGACAGGGCAUAGCAGGUAACUUUGAUUGAGGUAUUCUUUUGUAAUAGAGAUCCCCACUUUUUGGAAUGGAGGCUUUAGAUGUUUUGUGUCUUUUUUAAAAAACAUCUUAAUUUUAAAUAAUAAUAUUUUGGCUGUAUUAGACUACGGACCCAGUCACAGAAACAGCAGUGCCUCUGAACAGCAUGUUACCUUCUUUCCUAUCUGUAUAGGAUACUCUGGAAAUAGUUUCAUUGGCUUUCUCCCCAACUACUUGAUUAAAAUUAAGUGUUGCAUUUGAAUAAGU